UUCUAAAAAAGCAGCAGAGUGAGUGCGAAGGAGUUARGUUCCUUAUACGGGAGUAAAGCAAUUGCAUGAUGAAAU
This 75-nucleotide transfer RNA is filed under the name Armadillidium nasatum. RNAcentral describes it as "tRNA-Leu". Lineage: Eukaryota; Metazoa; Arthropoda; Malacostraca; Isopoda; Armadillidiidae. The record is from RNAcentral.